This 1323-nucleotide long non-coding RNA is filed under the name Polistes fuscatus (common paper wasp). RNAcentral's name for it is "uncharacterized LOC122513855". The record is from RNAcentral. Lineage: Eukaryota; Metazoa; Arthropoda; Insecta; Hymenoptera; Vespidae.
UCCAUUUAAUGUUUUAUCUCAAAGAAUUAUCCCGAAAGUAUCUACGAUUGACCAACCGCGAAUAUUACCGAUAACUUAUCGACAUAUUACCGACCGAUAAGUGGACCGUCGGUAAGGUCGGUAAAGUCGGUAAAAAAACAAUAGAAAUAUUAUCUCGAAGAUGGCGCCACGCGGAUUCAAGACAAAAGAGUUGAUCUCUGAAUUACCGACGGAGUGCCGGUGUGUUCUCUCUCCCACUCUCUUUCUUUCUCUUACGCGCGAGUUUCCCUUGCACUUUAUACCGUUCCGUAAAUAGCCGAAGAAAGGAACGUUCUCUCCCGGCCGAAGAUAACGACGCGCACGUCCUCCGAAAUGUCCGUGGCAACGCUCGCCGUAGUUGCGAGUACCGGCUUUUUUUUCGAUUAAAAACGUUGUCAACGUUACGUUGCAAUUAACUGUCGUCAUUAUCGUUACGAGUUUCAUUUUACCGCGUUGGUGUUGAAAAUCUAAUACGAAUAUAACAAAAAACAAAGUACAAGAAUUACACACACGUACGCAUACACGUACACACGCUCUUUCUCUUAAAUAGAGACACACGCAUAAAACGCAACACAACAUAAAAACAGAUAUAAAUGUACACAAAGAAAAAUUUGUCCCGAGUUGUCGUCGUCGUCGUCGUCGCCGUAAAUUGAGGGUGCAACGCGCGUACGCGUUCGUGUUUGCGUCCGUGCGUGCGUACGUGCGUGCGUGCGUGCAUGCGGCGAGCGUGCGUGUCGCGUCGUGCUUUGUGUGUGAAAGUAGUGGUGUGGUGGGUACGGGGGAGCGCGCGCGCGCGCGCUCGCUCGUCGCCGCGCACACGUACUGACACGCACACAUGCACGUAAAAUUACAUGUAUGAACUAACACGCACGCGUAAAGUACAUUUUCGUACGUCGAGAUGUAUAGACGAGGUGUGUGUAGUAAAAAAUUGUGCGUGUCGCGUGUGUGCAUAGAGUUACUAGUAUAUCGUCGUCGGUAUCACUAUUACUACUUUGAGUAAAGUGAUGUGCGUAUAUAUUAUAUAUAUAUACACAAAACUCUCUUUCUAUCAUCUAUCUCUCUCGCUCUUCCUGUCUCACUUACGAUGGGUCAGAGAGGUUAGGUUCCUGUGCUCGGCGAAGAGUAGUUAAAAGCACGGGGACAGGUGCCGGCGACGUUCGAUUGUCUUCUUCUUCUUCUACCAUACCAUCAGUACUACUACUACUACUUCUGACUCUCCUACGUUUAAAUAUCGAGUGUUAAAAGGACAGGGAGAGAGAAUUAAAAAAAUAAAAAAAAAAGGGGGAGAAAGAAAAGUAAAGAAAA